GGAGAGGUGCCAGAGCGGUCGAUUGGGCUCCCCUGCUAAGGGAGUGUGCCUUUUCGGGCACCGAGGGUUCGAAUCCCUCCCUCUCCG
This 87-nucleotide transfer RNA is filed under the name Parcubacteria group bacterium SW_6_46_9. RNAcentral's name for it is "tRNA-Ser". It matches the Rfam family "tRNA". From Rfam's summary of the family: Transfer RNA (tRNA) molecules are approximately 80 nucleotides in length. Their secondary structure includes four short double-helical elements and three loops (D, anti-codon, and T loops). The record is from RNAcentral.